AUUGAACGCUGGCGGAAUGCUUUACACAUGCAAGUCGAACGGCAGCACGGGGGCAACCCUGGUGGCGAGUGGCGAACGGGUGAGUAAUACAUCGGAACGUGCCCGGUCGUGGGGGAUAACGUAGCGAAAGUUACGCUAAUACCGCAUACGAUCUGAGGAUGAAAGCGGGGGACCUUCGGGCCUCGCGCGAUCGGAGCGGCCGAUGUCAGAUUAGGUAGUUGGUGGGGUAAAGGCCUACCAAGCCGACGAUCUGUAGCUGGUCUGAGAGGACGACCAGCCACACUGGGACUGAGACACGGCCCAGACUCCUACGGGAGGCAGCAGUGGGGAAUUUUGGACAAUGGGCGCAAGCCUGAUCCAGCCAUUCCGCGGGCAGGACGAAGGCCUUCGGGUUGUAAACUGCUUUUGUAUGGAACGAAAAGGCUCUGGCUAAUACCUGGGGCUCAUGACGGUACCGUAAGAAUAAGCACCGGCUAACUACGG
Molecule: ribosomal RNA, 483 nt
Filed under: uncultured bacterium
Lineage: Bacteria
Description: partial 16S ribosomal RNA
Rfam family: Bacterial small subunit ribosomal RNA
Source: RNAcentral